Molecule: transfer RNA, 74 nt
Filed under: Alphaproteobacteria bacterium
Lineage: Bacteria; Pseudomonadati; Pseudomonadota; Alphaproteobacteria
Also listed under: 1 other name
Description: tRNA-Gly
Rfam family: tRNA
About the family: Transfer RNA (tRNA) molecules are approximately 80 nucleotides in length. Their secondary structure includes four short double-helical elements and three loops (D, anti-codon, and T loops). Further hydrogen bonds mediate the characteristic L-shaped molecular structure. tRNAs have two regions of fundamental functional importance: the anti-codon, which is responsible for specific mRNA codon recognition, and the 3' end, to which the tRNAs corresponding amino acid is attached (by aminoacyl-tRNA synthetases). tRNAs cope with the degeneracy of the genetic code in two manners: having more than one tRNA (with a specific anti-codon) for a particular amino acid; and 'wobble' base-pairing, i.e. permitting non-standard base-pairing at the 3rd anti-codon position.
Source: RNAcentral
GCGGGUGUAGCUCAAUGGUAGAGCAGAAGCCUUCCAAGCUUAUUACGGGGGUUCGAUUCCCCUCACCCGCUCCA